CGAUGAUGGGCGCCUUUCAUGGCGCGAUAUCCGGUGGUCCAGGCCGUCGAGAAAAGCCUCGGCGCGAGGGGCGUUGCCGCCCGUACCCCAAACCGACACUGGUGGUCAGGUAGAGAAUACCAAGGCGAUCGAGCGAAUCCUGGUCAAGGAACUCGGCAAAUCACUCCCGUGCCUUCGGUAUAAGGGAGACCCCUGAUGGUGAUGGAACUUGCUUCCGGAGCUUUCGGGGGUGGCACAGACCAGGGGGUAGCGACUGUUUACCAAAAACACAGGUGCAUGCGAAGGCGCAAGCCGCUGUAUAUGCACUGACGCCUGCCCGGUGCCGGAAGGUUAAGAGGAUCCGUCAGCCCUCGGGUGAAGCGGUGAAUUCAAGCCCCGGUAAACGGCGGUGGUAACUAUAACCAUCCUAAGGUAGCGAAAUUCCUUGUCGGGUAAGUUCCGACCUGCACGAAUGGCGUAACGACUUCCCCACUGUCUCGACCAGGAGCUCGGCGAAAUUGCAGUACGAGUAAAGAUGCUCGUUAAGCGCAGAAGGACGAAAAGACCCCGGGACCUUUACUAUACCUUGGUAUUGGCGUUAGGCGCGGAUUGUGUAGCAUAGGCGGGAGGCUUCGAAGCAUGGGCGCCAGCCCGUGUGGAGCCGCAAGGUGAAAUACCGCUCUGUUCUCGUUUGACGUCUCACCUCGAACAGUCAUCCUGUUCAGGGACAGUGCCUGGCGGGUAGUUUAACUGGGGCGGUUGCCUCCCAAAGAGUAACGGAGGCGCUCAAAGGUCCGCUCAGCCCGGUUGGCAAUCGGGUUUCGAGUGUAAUCGCACAAGCGGGCUUGACUGCGAGAACGACGGUUCGGGCAGGGACGAAAGUCGGAGAUAGUGAUCCGGUGCCGGCGCACGGGCGCGGCAUCGCUCAACGGAUAAAAGGUACCCCGGGGAUAACAGGCUGAUCAUUCCCAAGAGUCCAUAUCGACGGGAUGGUUUGGCACCUCGAUGUCGGCUCGUCGCAUCCUGGGGCUGAAGCAGGUCCCAAGGGUUUGGCUGUUCGCCGAUUAAAGCGGCACGCGAGCUGGGUUCAGAACGUCGUGAGACAGUUUGGUCUCUAUCCUCUGCGCUCGUUGGAAUCCUGAGGAGGCCUGCCCAUAGUACGAGAGGACCUGGGUGGACGGACCUCUGGUAUGCCGGUUGUCGCGCCAGCGGCAUGGCCGGUUGGCUACGUUCGGGAGGGAUAACCGCUGAAAGCAUCUAAGCGGGAAGCCUGCUCCAAGAUUAGGAUUCCUUGACGCUCCUCGGAGCGUUUGUAGCCCGCAUGUUGAACACGUGUUCGAUAGGCCGGAGGUGGAAGUCCCGCGAGGGAUGGAGCCGACCGGUACUAACGGGCGAACGCGGCACAC
Molecule: ribosomal RNA, 1385 nt
Filed under: human gut metagenome
Description: bacterial LSU rRNA
Rfam family: Bacterial large subunit ribosomal RNA
Source: RNAcentral